Molecule: ribosomal RNA, 460 nt
Filed under: uncultured bacterium
Lineage: Bacteria
Description: partial 16S ribosomal RNA
Rfam family: Bacterial small subunit ribosomal RNA
Source: RNAcentral
CCUACGGGAGGCAGCAGUGAGGAAUAUUGGUCAAUGGACGAGAGUCUGAACCAGCCAAGUAGCGUGAAGGAUGACUGCCCUAUGGGUUGUAAACUUCUUUUAUAUGGGAAUAAAACGUUCCACGUGUGGGAUUUUGUAUGUACCAUAUGAAUAAGGAUCGGCUAACUCCGUGCCAGCAGCCGCGGUAAUACGGAGGAUCCGAGCGUUAUCCGGAUUUAUUGGGUUUAAAGGGAGCGUAGGUGGAUUGUUAAGUCAGUUGUGAAAGUUUGCGGCUCGACCGUAAAAUUGCAGUUGAAACUGGCAGUCUUGAGUACAGUAGAGGUGGGCGGAAUUCGUGGUGUAGCGGUGAAAUGCUUAGAUAUCACGAAGAACUCCGAUUGCGAAGGCAGUUCACUGGACUGCAACUGACACUGAGGCUCGAAAGUGUGGGUAUCAAACAGGAUUAGAUACCCCAGUAGUC